Molecule: non-coding RNA, 118 nt
Filed under: Micrococcus sp.
Lineage: Bacteria; Bacillati; Actinomycetota; Actinomycetes; Micrococcales; Micrococcaceae
Also listed under: 1 other name
Description: SAM-IV sequence
Rfam family: SAM (S-adenosyl methionine) riboswitch aptamer
About the family: SAM-IV is a mRNA element that regulates gene expression via direct sensing of S-adenosylmethionine (SAM or AdoMet). SAM-IV riboswitches share conserved nucleotide positions with the previously described SAM-I riboswitches sequence analysis and molecular recognition experiments suggest that SAM-I and SAM-IV riboswitches share similar ligand binding sites, but have different scaffolds.
Source: RNAcentral
GGUCACGAGAGCCAGCACCAGUGCCCCGGCAUUCUGGCCGGCAACCCUCCCCACCGCGGCGGGGUGCCCCGGGUGACGACCAGGCCGGCCCCAGACCGGGGCCCGGCAAGCGCGGUCG